Transfer RNA from Trichinella murrelli, 83 nucleotides. It matches the Rfam family "tRNA". From Rfam's summary of the family: Transfer RNA (tRNA) molecules are approximately 80 nucleotides in length. Their secondary structure includes four short double-helical elements and three loops (D, anti-codon, and T loops). Further hydrogen bonds mediate the characteristic L-shaped molecular structure. tRNAs have two regions of fundamental functional importance: the anti-codon, which is responsible for specific mRNA codon recognition, and the 3' end, to which the tRNAs corresponding amino acid is attached (by aminoacyl-tRNA synthetases). tRNAs cope with the degeneracy of the genetic code in two manners: having more than one tRNA (with a specific anti-codon) for a particular amino acid; and 'wobble' base-pairing, i.e. permitting non-standard base-pairing at the 3rd anti-codon position. The record is from Rfam. Lineage: Eukaryota; Metazoa; Nematoda; Enoplea; Trichinellida; Trichinellidae.
AGCACGGUGGCCGAGUGGUUAAGGCGUUAGACUUAAGAUCUAAUGGGCAUAUGUCCGCGUGGGUUCGAACCCCACCCGUGCUA